This 497-nucleotide ribosomal RNA is filed under the name uncultured bacterium. RNAcentral describes it as "partial 16S ribosomal RNA". It matches the Rfam family "Bacterial small subunit ribosomal RNA", at positions 28 to 507 of the family's 1533-position model. The record is from RNAcentral.
GAUGAACGCUGGCGGCGUGCCUAAUACAUGCAAGUCGAGCGAACGGACGAGAAGCUUGCUUUUCUGAUGUUAGCGGCGGACGGGUGAGUAACACGUGGAUAACCUACCUAUAAGACUGGGAUAACUUCGGGAAACCGGAGCUAAUACCGGAUAAUAUUUUGAACCGCAUGGUUCAAAAGUGAAAGACGGUCUUGCUGUCACUUAUAGAUGGAUCCGCGCUGCAUUAGCUAGUUGGUAAGGUAACGGCUUACCAAGGCAACGAUGCAUAGCCGACCUGAGAGGGUGAUCGGCCACACGGGAGCUGAGACACGGUCAAGACUACUACGGGAGGCAGCAGUCGGGAAUCGUCCGCAAUGGGCGAAAGCCUGACGGAGCAACGCCGCGUGAGUUAUGAAGGUCUUCGGAUCGUAAAACUCUGUUAUUAGGGAAGAACAUAUGUGUAAGUAACUGUGCACAUCUUGACGGUACCUAAUCAGAAAGCCACGGCUAACUACGUG